Molecule: ribosomal RNA, 253 nt
Filed under: uncultured bacterium
Lineage: Bacteria
Description: partial 16S ribosomal RNA
Rfam family: Bacterial small subunit ribosomal RNA
Source: RNAcentral
UACGAAGGGGGCUAGCGUUGUCCGGAUUUAUUGGGCGUAAAGAGCGUGUAGGCGGCCAGGGAGGUCCGUUGUGAAAACUCGAGGCUCAACCUCGAGACGCCGAUGGAAACCCCCUGGCUAGAGUCCGGAAGAGGAGAAUGGAAUUCCUGGUGUAGCGGUGAAAUGCGCAGAUAUCAGGAAGAACACCCGUGGCUAAGGCGGUUCUCUAGUACAGUACUGACGCUGAGACGCGAAAGCGUGGGGAGCGAACAGG